CAAAAGCUCUGUGUUCUUGGGAGCAACCAAGAUGCAAUCGGUCAGAGAAAUGGUUUCUUCCCGGAUCCAUGUGAGUUAAACUGUUGUGUGACUGGAGAUACUCGCGCCUGCAGAGUUGUGGUGACAAGCAAGCCCUCCUCUUUGCUCCCUGUCUGAAGUCUGCAUGUUCCAUGAGUCCUUCAGGGAGCCUGAUUCUUAUAAGGGGGUCACUGAACGAACCACAACAGUGUCUUCCUUGGAGAAAAGGAAAGGAAAUCGCCACCGUUUGAGAACACCACACAAAUUCAUUCCCGUCAGAUGCUGUCCAUGUGUGAGUUACGCGUGCCCACUGCCAGGUAAGAUACCUCCUGAAGAAAGGUCCUCUUCCUCUGGGACCUCCAAAGCUGACGCCAGGUCUCCAAGGAAGUGAAACAUCACAAGACCAGGCAGAAUUAACACAAAAUGUGAGACCUUAUUCAAUUCUUCUUCUCUCAAAGAUCAAACAAAUCACAAUGGCGUUAGCACCAUCACCAUAUACACACGUGGGUAUAGAGAAAUCUCGAGUAACCUAUAGAGACCCAGGAAAUAGCCAUGUAGUUAAGAGUCUGUGCGUUGUCA
Molecule: long non-coding RNA, 597 nt
Filed under: Mus pahari (shrew mouse)
Lineage: Eukaryota; Metazoa; Chordata; Mammalia; Rodentia; Muridae
Description: lncRNA (MGP_PahariEiJ_G0004231.1)
Source: RNAcentral